UGGCUCAGAACGAACGCUGGCGGCGUGCUUAACACAUGCAAGUCGAGUGCGCGGUUGUAGCAAUACAACUGGCGCACGGCGCACGGGUGCGUAACACGUGGGCAAUCUGCCCUCCGAUGGGGAAUAACUCCGGGAAACCGAAGCUAAUUCCGCAUAACAUUCCUUGGACUCCGGUUCGGGGAUUCAAAGCAGCAAUGCGUCGGAGGAGGAGCCCGCGCCCGAUUAGCUAGUUGGUGAGGUAACGGCUCACCAAGGCAAGGAUAAGUAGCUGGUCUGAGAGGAUGGCCAGCCACACUGGAACUGUUUCUCGGUCCAGAGAACUACGGGAGGCAGC
RNAcentral lists this ribosomal RNA (334 nucleotides) under uncultured Acidobacteriota bacterium. RNAcentral describes it as "bacterial SSU rRNA". It matches the Rfam family "Bacterial small subunit ribosomal RNA", at positions 20 to 352 of the family's 1533-position model. Lineage: Bacteria; Pseudomonadati; Acidobacteriota. The record is from RNAcentral.